RNAcentral lists this unclassified non-coding RNA (233 nucleotides) under plant metagenome. Its description in RNAcentral is "partial contains small subunit ribosomal RNA, internal transcribed spacer 1, and 5.8S ribosomal RNA". The record is from RNAcentral.
GUUCCGUAGGUGAACCUGCGGAAGGAUCAUUACUGAGUGAGGGCCCUCUGGGUCCAACCUCCCACCCGUGUUUAUUAUACCUUGUUGCUUCGGUGAGCCCGCCUCACGGCCGCCGGGGGGCAUCUGCCCCCGGGCCCGCGCCCACCGAAGACACCUAGAACUCUGUAUGAAGAUUGCAGUCUGAGCAAAAACUAAAUAAGUUAAAACUUUCAACAACGGAUCUCUUGGUUCCG